GAUGAACGCUGGCGGCGUGCCUAAUACAUGCAAGUCGAACGCUGGAACUCUAGCUUGCUCGCUUGAAGGAGUGGCGAACGGGUGAGUAAUACAUAAGCAACCUACCCACGAAGACUGGGAUAAUCACUGGAAACGGGGACUAAUACCGGAUAGGUAAUCGGAAGGCAUCUUCUGAUUAUUAAAGGUUAAAAACACUGGUGGAUGGGCUUAUGGCGCAUUAGUUAGUUGGUGAGGUAACGGCCCACCAAGACGAUGAUGCGUAGCCGGCCUGAGAGGGUGAACGGCCACAUUGGGACUGAGACACGGCCCAGACGACUACGGGAGGCAGCAGUAGGGAAUUGUCGGCAAGGGGGGAAACCCUGACCGAGCAACGCCGCGUGAGUGAUGACGGCCUUCGGGGUGUAAAGCUCUGUUGUAAGGGAAGAACGGUAGAUAGAGAAUAUCUAAAUGACGGUACCUGACCAGAAAGCCACGGCUAACUACGUG
Molecule: ribosomal RNA, 486 nt
Filed under: uncultured bacterium
Lineage: Bacteria
Description: partial 16S ribosomal RNA
Rfam family: Bacterial small subunit ribosomal RNA
Source: RNAcentral